RNAcentral lists this ribosomal RNA (425 nucleotides) under uncultured bacterium. RNAcentral's name for it is "partial 16S ribosomal RNA". It matches the Rfam family "Bacterial small subunit ribosomal RNA", at positions 354 to 796 of the family's 1533-position model. The record is from RNAcentral.
GUGGGGAAUCUUGCGCAAUGGGCGAAAGCCUGACGCAGCCAUGCCGCGUGAAUGAUGAAGGUCUUAGGAUUGUAAAAUUCUUUCACCGGGGACGAUAAUGACGGUACCCGGAGAAGAAGCUCCGGCUAACUUCGUGCCAGCAGCCGCGGUAAUACGAAGGGGGCUAGCGUUGUUCGGAAUUACUGGGCGUAAAGGGCGCGUAGGCGGACAGCUUAGUCAGAGGUGAAAGCCCAGGGCUCAACCUUGGAAUUGCCUUUGAUACUGGCUGUCUUGAGUUUGGGAGAGGUGAGUGGAACUCCGAGUGUAGAGGUGAAAUUCGUAGAUAUUCGGAAGAACACCAGUGGCGAAGGCGACUCACUGGCCCGUUACUGACGCUGAGGCGCGAAAGCGUGGGGAGCAAACAGGAUUAGAUACCCUGGUAGUCC